This 377-nucleotide ribosomal RNA is filed under the name Ixchela huberi. Its description in RNAcentral is "partial 16S ribosomal RNA". It matches the Rfam family "Bacterial large subunit ribosomal RNA", at positions 1920 to 2577 of the family's 2925-position model. The record is from RNAcentral. Lineage: Eukaryota; Metazoa; Arthropoda; Arachnida; Araneae; Pholcidae.
AACAUAAAUAGCUGCAGAAUUAUCUGUACUAAGGUAGCAUAAUCAUUAGCUUUCUAAUUAAAAGAUAGAAUGAAAGGUUAAACGAAAUAUUUACUGUCUCUAACAUCAACUACGAAAUUAAAAUAAAAGUAAAAAUUCUUUUAAACAUAAGAAGGACGACAAGACCCUGAUAAACUUUAGCAUUUUGCUGGGGCGGCAACACAAAAAAACCUUAUAUUCCAACAAUAAAAACAAUACUAAUAAUAAAUAAUAAAGAUAUAGUUACUACAGGGAUAACAGCGCAAUCUUUUUUAAAAGAACAUAUUCAAAAAAAGCUUUACGACCUCGAUGUUGAAUUAAUUUCAUCUAUUAAGAGCAAAAUCCUUAACAAGAAGGUC